GGCGCCUUCGUCUAGUGGCCUAGGACGCAAGGUUCUCAUCCUUGUAACAUGGGUUCGACUCCCAUAGGCGUCACUA
RNAcentral lists this transfer RNA (76 nucleotides) under Candidatus Microgenomates bacterium. Its description in RNAcentral is "tRNA-Glu". It matches the Rfam family "tRNA". Rfam says of the family: Transfer RNA (tRNA) molecules are approximately 80 nucleotides in length. Their secondary structure includes four short double-helical elements and three loops (D, anti-codon, and T loops). The record is from RNAcentral. Lineage: Bacteria; Candidatus Microgenomatota.